UACGGAGGGUGCAAGCGUUAUCCGGAUUUACUGGGUUUAAAGGGUGCGUAGGUGGGCAGGUAAGUCAGUGGUGAAAUCUUCGAGCUUAACUCGGAAACUGCCAUUGAUACUAUCUGUCUUGAAUCAUCUGGAGGUAAGCGGAAUAUGUCAUGUAGCGGUGAAAUGCUUAGAUAUGACAUAGAACACCCAUUGCGAAGGCAGCUUACUACGGAUGCAUUGACACUGAGGCACGAAAGCGUGGGGAUCAAACAGG
Molecule: ribosomal RNA, 253 nt
Filed under: uncultured bacterium
Lineage: Bacteria
Description: partial 16S ribosomal RNA
Rfam family: Bacterial small subunit ribosomal RNA
Source: RNAcentral